CAGCAGCCGCGGUAAUACCGGCGGCCCGAGUGGCGGUCACUAUUAUUGGGCUUAAAACGUCCGUAGCCGGGUUGGGAAGUCCUCCGGGAAAUCUGGCCGCUUAACGGUCAGAAUGCCGGAGGAUACUCCCAGCCUAGGGAGCGGGAGAGGCCGAGGGGAUUCCCGGGGUAGGGGUGAAAUCCUAUAAUCCCGGGAGGGCCACCUGUGGCGAAGGCGCUCGGCUGGAACGCGUCCGACGGUGAGGGACGAAGGCCAGGGGAGCAAACCGGAUUAGAUACCCGGGUAGUCCUGGCUGUAAACGAUGCGGACUUUGUGUCGGACAAGCUAUGAGCUUGUCCGGUGCCGGAGGGAAACCGUUAAGUCCGCCGCCUGGGGAGUACGGCCGCAAGGCUGAAACUUAAAGGAAUUGGCGGG
Molecule: ribosomal RNA, 414 nt
Filed under: uncultured microorganism
Description: bacterial SSU rRNA
Rfam family: Archaeal small subunit ribosomal RNA
Source: RNAcentral